CAUGAGGGGACAUAUUACUGUUGUGUGCUGCCAAUAGUGGACAAAAAGGUAUUGCUGUAUGAGUUAAUCAGCUAACCUAAUUUACCUACUGAAUGGGUCGCCUUAAUCAUUAUCAAAAAAAUUGCCCCCCCUGAGAAUUUUUUCAGGAGCCGCCACUGAUGUAUAUGUAUGCACGUGUGUGCGGUGUGUACGUGUGUGCGGUGUGUGCGUGUGUGGGUGCACGUAGUCUUAGUCUUAGUCGUUAGACGAAAAUGCAUAUUAGUUUUAGUCACAUUCAAUAGUCCAUCUUAUAGACACAUUAAACUCCUUUCCUUCCCUUCUCAGGCCCAGGGACCCCCUGUGUUGUGUCUACAACUGCAUAAUAGUCUAGCUUGCAGUACUUAAAUUGUGGAUACAAUCAGUCUCUAAGAUAUAUACAGAUCUCCUAGUAUAUGCCUACAGCAGAAUUCCAAUUAAUUCAAUGUAAAUAAUCAUUUUAAGGCAAUACUUAAAGCAGCGAUAAGUCGUUUUUGGCUUGUAGCUCCCCCUAGUGGCGAAAUCUGUUGAAAUUUGCUUUUCUUGUUUAUGAAAAACUAGCGAGUCAACAACUUUGCUAACACAGUCAAGAAAAGAUGGCUAGCUCUGAAUCGAACUUGUAUCCAAAUGUGUCUUUCAGCUCUCGCCAACGAGUAAAAGCUGUUCCGAUAGUGACCGUCACUACCCGAUCCUAGUUGCGCAUGCUCAGACACAAAGGACCGGGCGGCUCCAGAAAUCUUACAUACCGCAGUAAUUUCCCUACAGACCCCCGAUGGCAACGGCGGAGAGGCCAUUCUCCAUAUUAAAAGUAAUUGUAGCGGCACAAUUUUUUUCAAUCUAUAAUUAUUAGCUAGCUAUCAAAGCAUAUAUACAUACACACACACACACACACAGCCAACGGCACCACUGUCACACACAUACACACACACACACAGCCAACGCCACCACUGUCACACACACACACACACACACACACACACACACACACACACACACACACACACAGCCAACGCCACCACUGUCACACACACACACACACACACACACACACACACACACACACACACUAUCCAAGCAUAUAUACAUAGACACCCCAUUGGCGUUUGGGUCGCCCCAUUGGCCAUCUUGGGGAGGUGAAGACUGGCCAAACAAACAAACAAACAAACAAACAAACAAACAAACAAACGCAUAUUAACGGUGGAGCUGCGGCUUUUCUGGAUAAAAAGCACAAUAGUGUUUACAUUUCUCAACCGAUUUCAAAACUAGCGAGUCAACAACUUCCCUGACACAGUCAAACAUCAAGCAAGAGUUAAGGAGGUACUGCACUAGGCGCAUGCAAGUUUCGAAAAAAUUAUUCAUUAAAUUUUUAAUUGUCCGUUAGUCCACCACUAACAUUCUCGUCUCGUCAACGAAAGUAAAAUAGAUUUAGUCACAGUUUUUAUUUCCAAAGACCCGUUUUCUUCACCUCAACGUCACGUCUUGUGAACGCAUAUUUUUCGUCAAAGUUGCGUUAACGAAAUUAACAUGCGUACGCGCGCGCGUGUGUGCGUGUGUGAGGUGUGUGUGCGUGUGUGAGGUGUGUGUGUGCGUGUGUGAGGUGUGUGUGCGUGUGUGAGGUGUGUGUGUGUGUGUGAGGUGUGUGUGCGUGUGUGAGGUGUGUGUGAGGUGUGUGUGUGUGUGUGAGGUGUGUGUGAGGUGUGUGUGUGUGUGUGUGAGGUUUGUGUGUGAGGUGUGUGUGUGUGUGUGUGUGCAUGAAAAGCAGCCUUUGUCUUUUCUUCCUCCAUCACUACUCUCUCUCUCCCUCUCUCUCUUCUUCUCCUUCUGUAUCUCUCUCUCUCCCUCUCUUUCUGUCUCUCUUCCUCUCUCUCUCUUUUCCUAUCCCUCUCUCUCUCUCUUUCUCUCUCUCUCUAUCCCCCUCUCUCUCUAUCUCUGUCCCUCUCUCUUUCUCUCUCUCUCUCUCUCUAUCCCUCUCUCUCAGGUGAGGUUGUAUCUGAUCUCUCUCUCUUUCUCUCUCUCUCUAUCACUGUCCCUCUCUCUCUCUUUCUCUCUCUCUAUCCCCCUCUCUCUCUAUCCCUCUUUCUCUCUCUCGAUCCCUCUCUCUCAGGUGAGGUCG
This is a long non-coding RNA of Clupea harengus (Atlantic herring), 2128 nucleotides long. NCBI's taxonomy places the organism in Eukaryota, Metazoa, Chordata, Actinopteri, Clupeiformes, Clupeidae. The record is from Ensembl.